GCUCUAGUAAAAACACGAUGAACCAGCAAACAGAUCCAGAGGGGCAGCAAUCAUCUGAUCGUAAACUUAAAUUAACUUCAUAUAGACAAUACCUUAUUUCUACUGCACAUUCCAGAUUUUAAAUUAAGAUUUAUAUUAAAAGACAAACCUUAAAAUCGAGCUCGUCUUAUUCUGUUCAGCAGACGCAUCCAGCAGACCCAAAGCUCAAGGACAUCAAUUAUUUCCGGAGAACUACUUCACAUGCUUUCAUGGUCUCAAAUCUUUGUCCAAAGCAAUGCUGGUGAUUCUUGGCUUAGGUAAGCCUCCUACAAACUGAAAAAAAAACAUUUUCAUAAACUCAUUAGAAAUGGCUGAAUUUGAUUUCUCCUGCAAAACAAGGGUCGAUGCAAAUAGUAAAGCUCCGAGAGAAGAAGGAGAAGCAUAUAUGGUCAGUCCAAAUCAUGGAAAAAUUGCUCGAUCAUGCAGCUUCCUAUGAAUACGAAGACAAUGGAAGGACCCCACAACAUUUACCACCACGAAUAAAAGAAACAACACCUUAUGCCCUCGUUGAUGGUUACACUGUUAAUUUCAGGACUCAUUUCCUGAUUCGGAAAUGUUAAAUGUCGUUUCAAUUUCACUAAUACCAUUUUGACUUCAAAUGUGAUUAUGACUGUUUUCGAGUCUAUUUUGGUUAAAUUCAAAGCAUGAAACAUGUAGUCCUCUAAGUUAGCUUUUUAAUCCAACUUGAAUCAGGCUAGAUUGGAUGUCGGCUGACAAAAUUAUGCAUGAAUGAGUUACUGUUUGAGUUAAAGAUAACUCAAAACAUCAAAAUUGUAGGCGGUGUUCAUUAUAUCAUUCAUAUCUUUCUCACCCGACAUCAAAUAUUUGUUGAUUCAAGUUUGAUAAGAAAGCCAACUUAAAGAACGACAAAUCCCGGCGUUUUGACUUUUGCCAAAUUCAAACCCGAAACUGGUAAAAAUCACAUUUGAAGUCCGAAAGAUACUAGUAAAAAUAAAACGGCAUUUAUCAUCUCCCUUUCUGAUUUUGCCAGCCCUAGAAACAGACUGAAGUUGUUACUAACUAUUCUGCAGAUGAAAGAAAGACAGAUGUGGAAAUGGAGAAGAGAGAAACACCGAUUCUUAUUGCGGCAAGGAAUGGCAUAACUGAAAUAGUGGCUAAGAUCCUCGAACUAUUUCCGGUGGCCAUACACGACAUGAACAAUGAGAGGAAGAAUGUAGUUCUGCUUGCGGUUGAGAACAGGCAGCCACACGUGUACGAAUUCUUAAUGAAACGAAAAAUAAUGAAAGAAACCAUUUUCCGCAAAAUGGACAAAGAUGGCAAUAGUGCUCUGCAUCUUGCAGCAAUGUUGGGUGAAAACAAACCCUGGCUCAUCCCAGGUGCUGCACUGCAGAUGCAAUGGGAAAUUAAGUGGUACGAGGUACGAAGAUCGAUUCGUUUUUUUUUUCUUGGCACGAAAAUAAAAUGAAUUUGAUUCUUCUGAAAAAAAAUAAAAAAUGUUUAUGCUUGGUUUCGAUUGAAAUGCAGUUUGUGAAGAAUUCAAUGCCGAUGCACUUUUUCAUACGGUACAACCAGAAGGGGCAAACGCCGAGGGAAAUAUUCAGUGAAUCUCACCAGAAACUGCUCAAGGAGGGCGGAGAGUGGCUGACGAGCACCUCCGAGUCGUGCUCGGUGGUGGCGGCGCUGAUUGCAACGGUGGCGUUCGCGACCUCAG
This 1711-nucleotide long non-coding RNA is filed under the name Erythranthe guttata (spotted monkey flower). Its description in RNAcentral is "long non-coding RNA (EGUT_LNC000666)". The record is from RNAcentral. Lineage: Eukaryota; Viridiplantae; Streptophyta; Magnoliopsida; Lamiales; Phrymaceae.